RNAcentral lists this long non-coding RNA (2033 nucleotides) under Salmo salar (Atlantic salmon). RNAcentral describes it as "lncRNA (ENSSSAG00000099148.1)". Lineage: Eukaryota; Metazoa; Chordata; Actinopteri; Salmoniformes; Salmonidae. The record is from RNAcentral.
CUUUAACUGUCCAUCCCCCACUCACCUUCCUCACAACCUGCUUGGUUUUUAUCACCCUGAGACAUUCCGCACUGACAUAACAAUUGUUUCACUCACCUUCUCACGAAUGAAGAAGGACAUGUUGGGAGAAAAACACGAGAGAAGGAAAGACACACAAACCGAGGCAGGGAGGAAGCUGUAUAGCCUACGACCUGGAGAGAAAGAGAUCGCGCUACCGGAGAGGAGACGGAUCUCUGAACCUUCUAUACAUUUUCUCUCUCCCCACCCCACUCUUCGGGUCUGGAUCGAUAUUCCCGUCGGGGGAUCGGUUGGAGUUGAAGGCACUCAAAACCGAGACUUGUCGACCUUUCCUGGAAAUAAGAACGUGCGCGGGGCGCGAGGAGGAACCGGCUGUGAACCAGUGUACCCUUGUCUACCCUCUCUCAGCCCGCGCUCGACCCGAUAAAUCCACUUGUUACAGCGCGCUUUAAAGAACCCACUUGGACCAGCCAGACGAGAUAAAUUGCGUGCUUAUAAGGAUGGUCUUAUGAAACUUUACCAACUAGGCUAUUCCAAGUAGAACCAUUUAGCGACAUUACGUGAACUUACAGUCCAGAUAGGCUAGGUGUUUACGGUAAGAAAUCUCAACGAAGAAAUCCGAGUAUUAAAAUCGCUAGUUCCGUCCUCAUGAUCUCAACACUAUACCGCCGGAGAAGCUCCUGGCGGUUUACGUCACUGGUAACGAGUCUAGACAACCUAUGGUGAUUUUUAGUGACUUCGACAUACAAGGAUAUACGAAUUCGGUUCUGCGGCUAAAUUAGUGACUCACGGACAUAUGGUCUGUAGGCGCAGGGGAUUUAGUGCCAGAACAACACCGCCUCUCCAGAGCGCGUUCUCCCCGGGAGAGAUUGGAUAGAGCGGUCAGAGUCUGAGGAAUGCGGGCACUGUUUCCCUGGAUCACCACCUCACCUGCGGAGACUCUCCGCUGCACACACCAAAUUGAACGUUGACCGGGUGACGCAAGCAGUCAUGUUGAGGCAAAUCCUGCUGAAUUCCACCAACGCACCGGACUUCGACUUAGGGCUGGCCCAUCAGACGCACGCGUCUGGGUCCGUGAACGCAUCUAACGGCUCGGUGAGCAUGGCGGGCCUGCUCAGGCCCACGGAUAACAGGGGUGGACUGCGGGAGGGCGGAGAGAUGAACAAACCAGACCUGGCAACCUACGUGGUGAUCUGUCUGGUUCUGUUUCUGCUCGUGCUGCUCAUCGUCUUCUUCAUCAACUGUCAGCUGAGAACCUCCUUUUUCGCCUCCAUGCCCUACGAUAGGUCUCUCAGAGAGGCCCGGACAUCCUACAAGUAGAACCCGUUACCCCAUCGGGUGGUAACAUUUGUACCAGGACUGGGUAACUUGUGUUAUCGAAUGUAGUCAUGGAGGAAUUUACGAUUUUUGCCAACUGCAUGGUCCAAACGCUGUGCGUAACCGUUAAGUGUUAAUUUGGCACAAUGAGAUAGAGGCCUAUUACGCACCAUGUUCCAAACUGGACUAAUGUGAUUAUGUGCAUAUAAAUGUUUAUGUUUGUUUGUAUAUACAACAUUUUGUAUAACUGCACUGUAAUGAAUUUGCGCUCUUAUGUAGGCCUGAUGUGUAAUUCUGCCGCUUAAAGUUUCAUUCCUUGUCCUGUGUAAAACCAUGAUUAAAUAUAUAUGAUAAAUAUAUGAACAACAUAUGGUGAUGAUGAUAAUGUGAUGGGAUGAAACGGAUUGAUAGUUGAAUGUCCCAGAGACAAAGCGAGGUUUCAUGACUGCAAUCCUUGCUGAUCACGUGCUUUCUUUUAUUUUUUUGUAAUUAAGCCUUCACUCACAAUAUACGAGCGUAAUUUCUCGCGGAAUGAAUGGCUUAACGCUGAUAUAAAUCGCCCAAGCCAAAUUGGUUAUCUUUUGGUUUUACACCGAGGUAAAAUGUGUUUUAUAUUAGAUAUUUGGUUUUCAAAGCAUGCCAUGACUGACAAUUGUAUAUUUUGAAUCAGGGGAGACCUUUUUGGUCUGUAAUUUGUG